Acanthosepion pharaonis is the source of this 108-nucleotide non-coding RNA. Lineage: Eukaryota; Metazoa; Mollusca; Cephalopoda; Sepiida; Sepiidae. The record is from the annotation of a GenBank genome assembly.
GCCACAUCACCGUUGAAUAACCAUUCUCGUACAGUCACCGAAGUUAAGCAACGUUGAACUUGGUCAAUACCUUGAUGGGUGACCGCUUGGGAAUACCAGGUGCUGUAA